AGCAGCCGCGGUAAUUCCAGCUCCAAUAGCGUAUAUUAAAGUUGUUGCAGUUAAAAAGCUCGUAGUUGAAUUUCGGGGUCAGUAGGUUGGUCGUGCCACCGGUACGUACUGGUCUCACUGAUUCCUCCUUCCUGAUGAGCUGUAAUGCCAUUAAUUUGGUGUUGCAGGGAAUCUGGACUGUUACUUUGAAAAAAUUAGAGUGUUUAAAGCAGGCUAACGCUUGAAUACAUUAGCAUGGAAUAAUGAAAUAGGACGUUCGAUCCUAUUUUGUUGGUUUCUAGGAUUGACGUAAUGAUUAAUAGGGAUAGUUGGGGGCAUUAGUAUUCAAUUGUCAGAGGUGAAAUUCUUGGAUUUAUUGAAGACUAACUACUGCGAAAGCAUUUGCCAAGGAUGUUUUCAUUAAUCAAGAACGAAAGUUAGGGGAUCGAAGACGAUCAGAUACCGUCGUAGUCUUAACCAUAAACUAUGCCGACUAGGGAUCGGAUGAUGUUAAUUUUUUUAAUGACUCAUUCGGCGUACC
RNAcentral lists this ribosomal RNA (520 nucleotides) under uncultured Glomus. RNAcentral describes it as "SSU rRNA". It matches the Rfam family "Eukaryotic small subunit ribosomal RNA", at positions 569 to 1087 of the family's 1831-position model. Lineage: Eukaryota; Fungi; Glomeromycota; Glomeromycetes; Glomerales; Glomeraceae. The record is from RNAcentral.